Molecule: long non-coding RNA, 379 nt
Filed under: Felis catus (domestic cat)
Lineage: Eukaryota; Metazoa; Chordata; Mammalia; Carnivora; Felidae
Description: lncRNA (ENSFCAG00000044349.2)
Source: RNAcentral
CAACACUGAGCAACAUUAUUCCCUCUGGAGAGAUGGAGCCCAGGCGUUGCUCCGCGGCCACUCGGAGACCUGGAGCCCACCUGCCCUGCCAUCCUCUCUACUAGGGGCCAGCCCCACCCCACAGCAGUGCAGGGGCAGCAGAAUCCAGGGUGCCUAUCUGGGAGCAGAAACAUUUGAAGAGGACCAUGAAGGAGAGGUAAAAUUUGGACUUGCCAAGGUGGGGGUAGGGAAGGGGAUUACAAAAGUACCUUUGCAAAACCAGAGCAAAAGUGAGGUGGUUCCUCCCAAGUGCGUUGGAGGGUUGGGGGUGCUGAGCCCUGGGGCCCCCUUUGUCCCCAUCCUAUCACCAGUUUUCCAGGAAGUUUGGAGUCUCCUCCUG